UCAACAUGCUGUCUCGAUAAGCCUCCUCCAUUUCGGGUUCAUAACAAUACUCCAUGACCUUCUUCAUAGUUAGUUUCUUGCCUCUACCCAAGCUAGAAGAUUUUGAAGCAUCACUGUCCUCAACCUUUUCAACUUCAGUCAUGAAAUAGUCGUCCAUUGAAUGAAUUCGUGGGGCAUUACCACCAUUUUCAACCUCAAGAUCACGCAUCAUCUUUGCCAAGUAGCUC
RNAcentral lists this unclassified non-coding RNA (227 nucleotides) under Hevea brasiliensis (rubber tree). The record is from RNAcentral. Lineage: Eukaryota; Viridiplantae; Streptophyta; Magnoliopsida; Malpighiales; Euphorbiaceae.